UACAGAGACCUCAAGCGUUAUCCGGAAUCAUUGGGCGUAAAGCGUACCGAUAGGUGGUUUACCAAGUCAGAUGUGAAAUCUCCGAGCUUAACUCGGAAUCUGUCAUUUGAAACUGGUAGACUAGAGGGGCAAAGAGGAAGCUGGAACGAACGGUGUAGUAGUGAAAUGCGUUGAUAUCGUUCGGAACACCAAUAGCGAAGGCGGGCUUCUGGGUGCCACCUGACACUGCUAGGACGAAAGCGUGGGGAGCGAAUGGG
RNAcentral lists this ribosomal RNA (257 nucleotides) under uncultured prokaryote. RNAcentral describes it as "partial 16S ribosomal RNA". It matches the Rfam family "Bacterial small subunit ribosomal RNA", at positions 524 to 776 of the family's 1533-position model. The record is from RNAcentral.